AAUGAACGCUGGCGGCAUGCCUAACACAUGCAAGUCGAACGAGACCUUCGGGUCUAGUGGCCCACGGGUUCGUAACGCGUGGGAACCUGCCCUUAGGUUCGGAAUAACUCUCCGAAAGGGGUGCUAACACCGGAUCAUGUCUUCGCACCUAAGAUUUAUCGCCUUUGGAUGGGCCCGCGUUGGAUUAGCUAGUUGGUAGGGUAAAAGCUUACUAAUGCGACGAUACAUAGCUGGGCUGAGAGUCAGCUUAGCCACACUGGCAGUGGGACACGGCCCAGACUCCUACGGAAGGCGGGAAUGGGGGAUAUUGGACGAUGGAGGGAGGGCUGAAGCAGUACGGCUGCGUAAGUGAUGAAAGUGUUAGGGUUGUAAAGCGCUUUUACCCGGGAUGAUAAUGACAGUACCGUGAGAAUAAGCUCCGGCUAACUCCGUG
This 433-nucleotide ribosomal RNA is filed under the name uncultured bacterium. Its description in RNAcentral is "partial 16S ribosomal RNA". It matches the Rfam family "Bacterial small subunit ribosomal RNA", at positions 29 to 507 of the family's 1533-position model. The record is from RNAcentral.